Molecule: transfer RNA, 72 nt
Filed under: Perkinsus chesapeaki
Lineage: Eukaryota; Perkinsozoa; Perkinsida; Perkinsidae
Rfam family: tRNA
About the family: Transfer RNA (tRNA) molecules are approximately 80 nucleotides in length. Their secondary structure includes four short double-helical elements and three loops (D, anti-codon, and T loops). Further hydrogen bonds mediate the characteristic L-shaped molecular structure. tRNAs have two regions of fundamental functional importance: the anti-codon, which is responsible for specific mRNA codon recognition, and the 3' end, to which the tRNAs corresponding amino acid is attached (by aminoacyl-tRNA synthetases). tRNAs cope with the degeneracy of the genetic code in two manners: having more than one tRNA (with a specific anti-codon) for a particular amino acid; and 'wobble' base-pairing, i.e. permitting non-standard base-pairing at the 3rd anti-codon position.
Source: Rfam by way of RNAcentral
GGGCGUGUGGUGUAGUGGUAUCACGUCUGCUUCGCAUGCAGAAUGGCCCGAAUUCAAAUCUCGGCACGUCCA